This 46-nucleotide small RNA is filed under the name Planctomycetaceae bacterium SCGC AG-212-F19. RNAcentral describes it as "Acido-Lenti-1 RNA". It matches the Rfam family "Acido-Lenti-1 RNA". Lineage: Bacteria; Pseudomonadati; Planctomycetota; Planctomycetia; Planctomycetales; Planctomycetaceae. The record is from Rfam by way of RNAcentral.
CCCAGCACUGAAGUGCUGGGCUAUUUUCAAUUGCCCCUCCGGGGCA